RNAcentral lists this ribosomal RNA (1505 nucleotides) under Parabacteroides distasonis. RNAcentral's name for it is "bacterial SSU rRNA". It matches the Rfam family "Bacterial small subunit ribosomal RNA". Lineage: Bacteria; Pseudomonadati; Bacteroidota; Bacteroidia; Bacteroidales; Tannerellaceae. RNAcentral also lists the same sequence under 1 other name. The record is from RNAcentral.
AGAGUUUGAUCCUGGCUCAGGAUGAACGCUAGCGACAGGCUUAACACAUGCAAGUCGAGGGGCAGCACAGGUAGCAAUACCGGGUGGCGACCGGCGCACGGGUGAGUAACGCGUAUGCAACUUGCCUAUCAGAGGGGGAUAACCCGGCGAAAGUCGGACUAAUACCGCAUGAAGCAGGGGCCCCGCAUGGGGAUAUUUGCUAAAGAUUCAUCGCUGAUAGAUAGGCAUGCGUUCCAUUAGGCAGUUGGCGGGGUAACGGCCCACCAAACCGACGAUGGAUAGGGGUUCUGAGAGGAAGGUCCCCCACAUUGGUACUGAGACACGGACCAAACUCCUACGGGAGGCAGCAGUGAGGAAUAUUGGUCAAUGGGCGUAAGCCUGAACCAGCCAAGUCGCGUGAGGGAUGAAGGUUCUAUGGAUCGUAAACCUCUUUUAUAAGGGAAUAAAGUGCGGGACGUGUCCCGUUUUGUAUGUACCUUAUGAAUAAGGAUCGGCUAACUCCGUGCCAGCAGCCGCGGUAAUACGGAGGAUCCGAGCGUUAUCCGGAUUUAUUGGGUUUAAAGGGUGCGUAGGCGGCCUUUUAAGUCAGCGGUGAAAGUCUGUGGCUCAACCAUAGAAUUGCCGUUGAAACUGGGAGGCUUGAGUAUGUUUGAGGCAGGCGGAAUGCGUGGUGUAGCGGUGAAAUGCUUAGAUAUCACGCAGAACCCCGAUUGCGAAGGCAGCCUGCCAAGCCAUUACUGACGCUGAUGCACGAAAGCGUGGGGAUCAAACAGGAUUAGAUACCCUGGUAGUCCACGCAGUAAACGAUGAUCACUAGCUGUUUGCGAUACACUGUAAGCGGCACAGCGAAAGCGUUAAGUGAUCCACCUGGGGAGUACGCCGGCAACGGUGAAACUCAAAGGAAUUGACGGGGGCCCGCACAAGCGGAGGAACAUGUGGUUUAAUUCGAUGAUACGCGAGGAACCUUACCCGGGUUUGAACGCAUUUUGACAGCUCUGGAAACAGAGCCUCUAGCAAUAGCGAUUUGCGAGGUGCUGCAUGGUUGUCGUCAGCUCGUGCCGUGAGGUGUCGGCUUAAGUGCCAUAACGAGCGCAACCCUUGCCACUAGUUACUAACAGGUAAAGCUGAGGACUCUGGUGGGACUGCCAGCGUAAGCUGCGAGGAAGGCGGGGAUGACGUCAAAUCAGCACGGCCCUUACAUCCGGGGCGACACACGUGUUACAAUGGCGUGGACAAAGGGAGGCCACCUGGCGACAGGGAGCGAAUCCCCAAACCACGUCUCAGUUCGGAUCGGAGUCUGCAACCCGACUCCGUGAAGCUGGAUUCGCUAGUAAUCGCGCAUCAGCCAUGGCGCGGUGAAUACGUUCCCGGGCCUUGUACACACCGCCCGUCAAGCCAUGGGAGCCGGGGGUACCUGAAGUCCGUAACCGAAAGGAUCGGCCUAGGGUAAAACUGGUGACUGGGGCUAAGUCGUAACAAGGUAGCCGUACCGGAAGGUGCGGCUG